RNAcentral lists this ribosomal RNA (186 nucleotides) under uncultured bacterium. RNAcentral describes it as "partial 16S ribosomal RNA". It matches the Rfam family "Bacterial small subunit ribosomal RNA", at positions 1315 to 1500 of the family's 1533-position model. The record is from RNAcentral.
CCUUCAUGAAGCCGGAAUUGCUAGUAAUGGCAGGUCAGCAUACUGCCGUGAAUACGUUCCCCGGGGCCUUGUACACACCGCCCGUCACACCAUGAGAGUUGGGAAUACCCGAAGCCUGUGAGCUAACUUAGGAGGCAGCAGUCGAAGGUAGAAUCAAUGAUUGGGGUGAAGUCGUAACAAGGUAAC